Molecule: long non-coding RNA, 1389 nt
Filed under: Homo sapiens (human)
Lineage: Eukaryota; Metazoa; Chordata; Mammalia; Primates; Hominidae
Description: long non-coding RNA NONHSAT180574.1
Source: RNAcentral
CCGUAAUGAGUCUUCCCAUCAUCUCCUGUAUAGUCAGGAAGUCUGCACCUCCCUCCCAAGCCACUGAGGAACUGGGGGCUUUCUGCAUUUCCUUGUCUUUUUAGAGCUUCUCUUGUAGCUCUAAAGCCCUUUACAUUUCAGUGGAUUCUCAUGCUUCUCAUAUCUUCUGUCUCUUAGGGCACAGUCCUUCCAGGUAGUUAAAAGCAUCUGUCAGAUUCCGAAAUCUCCAGUCACUGCCAGCCUCAUCUGAAAUCCCAAGUCACCUGCUCACAGGAUGGAGGAAGCGGAGGACUCUGCUCUGUCCUGGGGUUCCUGAGGCCUGCAGUGAUGUUCCAUGCAAAGGGCCAUCCCCAAGAGGAUAGGAUGGACCAAGAAUUAGGAACAUGCAGAGAAGGGCUUGAGACUUUUUAGGGUCACAGGCUGGUCCAACGGUCUGAGAAAGGGAAGUCCAGACACCUGGCCUCUGCUCUGGACAGAAGCCGAGAAGUGGUCUGCAGAUCAGGAUGCCAUGACUGCCACUCUGGGCAUCUCUCACACGCUCAGCGUGUCUCAGUUCCAUGGUGGGAACCACUGUCCUCAGGAAAAGCUGUUUUCUUUCUGUGUGAAAGUAACCACCCGAAUCCCCAAGGAAACAGGAAGAAAAGGUCGGCAACAAAAUACCUAUUAAAAUUCUCCACAUUUUGGCCAGGCACAGUGACUCUCGCCUGUAAUCCUAGCACUUUGGGAGGCCAAGGUGGGGCAGAUCACUUGAGGUCAGGAGUUCGAGACCAGCCUGGUCAACAGGAUGAAACCCCAUCUCUACUAAAAAUACAAAAAUUAGCCAGGUGUGGUGACACAUGCCUGUAAUCCCAGCUACUCUACUCAGGAGGCUGAGGCAGGAGAAUCGCUUGAACCUGGGAGGUGGAGGUUGCAAUGAGCCAAGAUCAUGUCACUGCACUCCAGCCUGGGUGACAGAGCAAGACUCCGUCUCAAAAAAAAAAAAAAAAAAAAAAAAAAAAAAAAAAAAAAACCACAUGCAAAGAAACUGAAGCACAGUCCAUACAUAGCGCCACUGACUCCCUAUCAAAUGUGAAACAUUUUAAGUGACGUUUCUCCACAUGGAAAAGCCUGGUGGAGAGAGAAAGGGACAGGGCAUGUUAUCACACAAACCAAGCAUUUUUCAGGAGGGUGUGCAGUGUGGGAUGUGCUACAAACUGAGGGCUCAUUGCGGACGUGCAACAGAAGGAGGGAUGCUUCUGGUGAAUUUUUAACAGAACAAGCAGUUUAUAAAAGGGCCCGUAAAAUAUUGACCCUGUUGGGGGGGGAAGCCUGUUAUAUAUGCAUGAUAAAACAGAGAAAAAUAAAAAUAGUCAACGUUUACCUGGCAUUUUCGAUGGAACAGACUCUGGU